This 701-nucleotide ribosomal RNA is filed under the name Pediococcus acidilactici. Its description in RNAcentral is "bacterial SSU rRNA". It matches the Rfam family "Bacterial small subunit ribosomal RNA", at positions 56 to 713 of the family's 1533-position model. RNAcentral also lists the same sequence under 1 other name. Lineage: Bacteria; Bacillati; Bacillota; Bacilli; Lactobacillales; Lactobacillaceae. The record is from RNAcentral.
UGCAGUCGAACGAACUUCCGUUAAUUGAUUAUGACGUGCUUGCACUGAAUGAGAUUUUAACACGAAGUGAGUGGCGGACGGGUGAGUAACACGUGGGUAACCUGCCCAGAAGCAGGGGAUAACACCUGGAAACAGAUGCUAAUACCGUAUAACAGAGAAAACCGCCUGGUUUUCUUUUAAAAGAUGGCUCUGCUAUCACUUCUGGAUGGACCCGCGGCGCAUUAGCUAGUUGGUGAGGUAACGGCUCACCAAGGCGAUGAUGCGUAGCCGACCUGAGAGGGUAAUCGGCCACAUUGGGACUGAGACACGGCCCAGACUCCUACGGGAGGCAGCAGUAGGGAAUCUUCCACAAUGGACGCAAGUCUGAUGGAGCAACGCCGCGUGAGUGAAGAAGGGUUUCGGCUCGUAAAGCUCUGUUGUUAAAGAAGAACGUGGGUGAGAGUAACUGUUCACCCAGUGACGGUAUUUAACCAGAAAGCCACGGCUAACUACGUGCCAGCAGCCGCGGUAAUACGUAGGUGGCAAGCGUUAUCCGGAUUUAUUGGGCGUAAAGCGAGCGCAGGCGGUCUUUUAAGUCUAAUGUGAAAGCCUUCGGCUCAACCGAAGAAGUGCAUUGGAAACUGGGAGACUUGAGUGCAGAAGAGGACAGUGGAACUCCAUGUGUAGCGGUGAAAUGCGUAGAUAUAUGGAAGAACACCAGU